AGCAGCCGCGGUAAUUCCAGCUCCAAUAGCGUAUAUUAAAGUUGUUGCAGUUAAAAAGCUCGUAGUUGAAUUUCGGGAUCAAUGUUUCGGUCAUGCCCUUGGUAUGUACUGAUAUUAUUGGUUUCUCACCUUCCAAAGAACCGUAAUGCCAUUAAUUUGGUGUCACGGGGAAUUAGGACUGUUACCUUGAAAAAAUUAGAGUGUUUAAAGCAGGCUCACGCUUGAAUACAUUAGCAUGGAAUAAUGAAAUAGGACAUCCGAUUCUAUUUUGUUGGUUUCUAGGAUCGAUGUAAUGAUUAAUAGGGAUAGUUGGGGGCAUUAGUAUUCAAUUGUCAGAGGUGAAAUUCUUGGAUUUAUUGAAGACUAACUACUGCGAAAGCAUUUGCCAAGGAUGUUUUCAUUAAUCAAGAACGAAAGUUAGGGGAUCGAAGACGAUCAGAUACCGUCGUAGUCUUAACCAUAAACUAUGCCGACUAGGGAUCGGAUGAUGUUAAUUUUUUAAUGACUCA
Molecule: ribosomal RNA, 509 nt
Filed under: uncultured glomeraceous AM fungus
Lineage: Eukaryota; Fungi; Glomeromycota; Glomeromycetes; Glomerales; Glomeraceae
Description: SSU rRNA
Rfam family: Eukaryotic small subunit ribosomal RNA
Source: RNAcentral